Molecule: ribosomal RNA, 276 nt
Filed under: uncultured bacterium
Lineage: Bacteria
Description: partial 16S ribosomal RNA
Rfam family: Bacterial small subunit ribosomal RNA
Source: RNAcentral
CAAACUGGAGAUGGCGACCGGCGCACGGGUGAGUAACACGUAUCCAACCUGCCGAUAACUCGGGGAUAGCCUUUCGAAAGAAAGAUUAAUACCCGAUGGCAUAAUAGAACCGCAUGGUUUGAUUAUUAAAGAAUUUCGGUUAUCGAUGGGGAUGCGUUCCAUUAGGCAGUUGGUGGGGUAAUGGCCCACCAAACCUUCGAUGGAUAGGGGUUCUGAGAGGAAGGUCCCCCGCAUUGGAACUGAGACACGGUCCAAACUCCUACGGGAGGCAGCAUG